Molecule: ribosomal RNA, 253 nt
Filed under: uncultured bacterium
Lineage: Bacteria
Description: partial 16S ribosomal RNA
Rfam family: Bacterial small subunit ribosomal RNA
Source: RNAcentral
CACGUAGGGCGCAAGCGUUGUCCGGAAUUAUUGGGCGUAAAGAGCUCGUAGGUGGUUUGUCGCGUUGUUCGUGAAAACUCACAGCUCAACUGUGGGCGUGCGGGCGAUACGGGCAGACUGGAGUACUGCAGGGGAGACUGGAAUUCCUGGUGUAGCGGUGGAAUGCGCAGAUAUCAGGAGGAACACCGGUGGCGAAGGCGGGUCUCUGGGCAGUAACUGACGCUGAGGAGCGAAAGCGUGGGGAGCGAACAGG